AUCGCAUUCGAUUUCGAACGCGAUAUCUUCUAGUUUGACAGUGAAUUACAGCUCUGUGUAGUGAAAGCCUCUCAGUCUGAAAGCAGGUGAUGCUGAUUUACUACUAAUCACGGACCGGCUUUACUGACCAGAUGCACACGACAAUCGAAUGCGAUUAAUUGCACAGCCCUAGUACAGGUUUAUGUAAAAAUAACACGUUAACUAAUGUAGCUGGAGGCUCUGGACAUGUCCUGCCACAGUGGAAACAAAGAUUUUUCUAUUUUGGUUGGACUGGGAAACGUCCUGACGAAUGUAAAGCAGGGUUAUGUCUGAAUAAAAUAAAGGGAACAUUUUUAAAAUCAUCAUUCUGAAGUCAAUCUUAACGAG
This is a long non-coding RNA of Cyprinus carpio carpio, 366 nucleotides long. The record is from Ensembl. NCBI's taxonomy places the organism in Eukaryota, Metazoa, Chordata, Actinopteri, Cypriniformes, Cyprinidae.